Molecule: ribosomal RNA, 1463 nt
Filed under: metagenome
Description: bacterial LSU rRNA
Rfam family: Bacterial large subunit ribosomal RNA
Source: RNAcentral
GGCGUGGUAGGUCAGCCUCUUAACGGAUUGAGGUGCCAAACGCGUAGGACGUUGAAGGGUGUAGGUAAGUCCGCACCCCGAGUCCGAAACGUGAUGGCGGUGCCUUAGAGCCACAAGUGAUUGAGCCAUGCCGCCUAGAAAAGCUUCUAAGCGUUGAUAUUUGAGUGACCGUACCGCAAACCGACACUGGUAGGUGGGUAGAAUAUACCAAGGGGAGCGAGAGAACCUUCGUUAAGGAAUUAGGCAAAUUUCCCCCGUACGUUCGCAAUAAGGGGGGCCUCUGGUGGUGAGCUUAAUCGCAAAGCUGCUGGAGGCCGCAGAGAAAUGGCUCUUCCAACUGUUUAACAAAAACACAGGUCUCUGCUAAGUCGAAAGACGAAGUAUAGGGGCUGACGCCUGCCCAGUGCUGGAAGGUUAAGGGGAGAGGUUAGGCGCAAGCCGAAGCUUUGAGCCGAAGCCCCAGUGAACGGCGGCCGUAACGAUAACGGUCCUAAGGUAGCGAAAUUCCUUGUCGGGUAAGUUCCGACCCGCACGAAUGGCGUAAUGAGAGGAGCACUGUCUCAACGAGGGACUCGGCGAACAUUGAAGGACGUGUGAAGAUACACGUGACCCGCAGCGGGACAAAAAGACCCCGUGAAGCUUUACUACAACUUGCCAUUGAGUUAGGGCUAAACCUGUGUAGUAUAGGUGGGAGGCUUUGAAGCUGGGACGCCAGUCUCGGUGGAGCCACCGUUGAAAUACCACCCUGGUUUAUUCUUGGCUCUAACCUGUCGCCGUUAUCCGGCAUGGGAACAGUGGCUGGUGGGUAGUUUGACUGGGGCGGUCGCCUCCGAAAGCGUAACAGAGGCGCCCAAAGGUUCCCUCAGGCUGAAUGGAAACCAGCCGUUGAGUGUAAAGGCACAAGGGAGCUUGACUGCAAGACCUACAAGUCGCGCAGGGACGAAAGUCGGGCUUAGUGAUCCCACGGUUCAGAGUGGAAUGGCCGUGGCUUACCGGAUAAAAGCUACUCCGGGGAUAACAGGGUAGUCUGGUCCAAGAGUUCAUAUCGACGACCAGGUUCGCCACCUCGAUGUCGGCUCAUCACAUCCUGGGGCUGGAUAAGGUCCCAAGGGUUGGGCUGUUCGCCCAUUAAAGUGGUACGUGAGCUGGGUUCAGACCGUCGUGAGACAGGUCGGUCUCUAUCCGCUGUGGGCGUAAGGGAUUUGAGAGAAGCUGCCCCUAGUACGAGAGGACCGGGGUGGACGGACCUCUAGUGUGCCAGUUGUUCUGCCAAGAGCAUUGCUGGGUAGCUACGUCCGGCAGAGAUAACCGCUGAAAGCAUCUAAGUGGGAAACUCGUCUCAAGAUUAGAUCCCUCAUCCGUAUGGAGUAAGACCGCUAGAAGACUACUAGUUUGAUAGGCGGCAGGUGUAAGCGCAGUAAUGUGUUCAGCUUAGCCGUACUAAUGGUCGAGGGCUUACGUUU